Trematomus bernacchii (emerald rockcod) is the source of this 640-nucleotide long non-coding RNA. RefSeq lists it as uncharacterized. NCBI's taxonomy places the organism in Eukaryota, Metazoa, Chordata, Actinopteri, Perciformes, Nototheniidae. The transcript has 3 exons. The record is from RefSeq and is a predicted model, not a curated record.
UCUGCCAGCAGCUGCUGAGAGCCGCGAGGACACAGAGGAACCGGACCGUUACCCGGACUACAGACCCGGUACUGACCCGGUACCGUCCUGUCACUGACCCGGGACACACCUGGUACUGACCCGGUUCACUGACCCGGUAAACAGACCCGGGACACACAGUGUGACUGCAGGAGAGCCGCUGAUCUGCAGCUGGAGCUAACGGAGCUAAAAGGCUAACUUGACGUCAUCCCAUCAGCUGUUGUCUGACAGGCUAAAGCUAACAGGCUAACAGUAACAGUAACGGGACCGGGUCCACCUCACUGAGAGAGAACCGAGAGAGAACCGAGAGAGAAGCAGAGAGACCCGAGAGAGAAGCAGAGAGUACCGAGAGAGAAGCGAGAGAAGCGAGAGAAGCGAGAGAGAAGCUGAAGCUACACACUGUCAGAGACACGGAGCACCGGAGCAGCAUGUUGAUAGCCGUCUCCGCAGGAUCCGGACACGCGGCGGCCAGCGGCAAGAAACACCGGAGGAGAGGGAAGAAGCACCGGAGAACACGAGCUGGGGAGCCCCGGCCCGAUGACCUCUGUGACCUUCAGAGUCUGCCCCCCCCCCCCUGAAGAGACACACCUGGCCCCCCUCCCUGAAGAGACACACCUGCCCC